This 544-nucleotide ribosomal RNA is filed under the name Microbacterium sp. RNAcentral's name for it is "bacterial SSU rRNA". It matches the Rfam family "Bacterial small subunit ribosomal RNA", at positions 158 to 716 of the family's 1533-position model. The record is from RNAcentral. Lineage: Bacteria; Bacillati; Actinomycetota; Actinomycetes; Micrococcales; Microbacteriaceae.
GGCGUCUAAUACUGGAUAUGAGCCUUCCACGCAUGUGGGGGGUUGGAAAGAUUUUUUGGUUGGGGAUGGGCUCGCGGCCUAUCAGCUUGUUGGUGAGGUAAUGGCUCACCAAGGCGUCGACGGGUAGCCGGCCUGAGAGGGUGACCGGCCACACUGGGACUGAGACACGCCCCAAACUCAUACGGGAGGCAGCAGUGGGGAAUAUUGCACAAUGGGCGGAAGCCUGAUGCAGCAACGCCGCGUGAGGGAUGACGGCCUUCGGGUUGUAAACCUCUUUUAGCAAGGAAGAAGCGAAAGUGACGGUACUUGCAAAAAAAGCGCCGGCUAACUACGUGCCAGCAGCCGCGGUAAUACGUAGGGCGCAAGCGUUAUCCGGAAUUAUUGGGCGUAAAGAGCUCGUAGGCGGUUUGUCGCGUCUGCUGUGAAAUCCCGAGGCUCACCCUCGGGCCUGCAGUGGGUACGGGCUGACUAGAGUGCGGUAGGGGAGAUUGGAAUUCCUGGUGUAGCGGUGGAAUGCGCAGAUAUCAGGAGGAACACCGAUGGC